GAUGAAUGCUGGCGGCGUGCUUAACUCAUGCAAGUCGAGCGGCAGCGCGGUCUUCGGACUGGCGGCGAGCGGCGGACGGCUGAGUAACGCGUGGGAACGUGCCCCAAAGUGAGGAAUAACUGCCCGAAAGGGUGGCUAAUGCCGCACAUCGUCGUCGGAUUAAAGGAUUUAUCCGCUUUGGGAGCGGCCUGCGUAUGAUUAGGUAGUUGGUGAGGUAAUGGCUCACCAAGCCGACGAUCAUUAGCUGGACUGAGAGGAUGACCAGCCAGACUGGAACUGAGACACGGUCCAGACUCCUACGGGAGGCAGCAGUGAGGAAUCUUACACAAUGGGCGAAAGCCUGAUGGAGCAACGCCGCGUGCAGGAUGAAGGCCUUCGGGUUGUAAACUGCUUUUAUAAGUGAAGAAUAUGACGGUAACUUAUGAAUAAGCACCGGCUAACUACGUGCCAGCCGCCGCAGUAA
This 463-nucleotide ribosomal RNA is filed under the name uncultured bacterium. RNAcentral describes it as "partial 16S ribosomal RNA". It matches the Rfam family "Bacterial small subunit ribosomal RNA", at positions 28 to 523 of the family's 1533-position model. The record is from RNAcentral.